Molecule: ribosomal RNA, 637 nt
Filed under: bacterium TN34B
Lineage: Bacteria
Also listed under: 1 other name
Description: bacterial SSU rRNA
Rfam family: Bacterial small subunit ribosomal RNA
Source: RNAcentral
AAAACUCAAAGGAAUUGACGGGGGCCCGCACAAGCGGCGGAGCAUGCGGAUUAAUUCGAUGCAACGCGAAGAACCUUACCAAGGCUUGACAUGAACCGGUAAUACCUGGAAACAGGUGCCCCGCUUGCGGUCGGUUUACAGGUGGUGCAUGGUUGUCGUCAGCUCGUGUCGUGAGAUGUUGGGUUAAGUCCCGCAACGAGCGCAACCCUCGUUCUAUGUUGCCAGCGCGUUAUGGCGGGGACUCAUAGGAGACUGCCGGGGUCAACUCGGAGGAAGGUGGGGACGACGUCAAAUCAUCAUGCCCCUUAUGUCUUGGGCUUCACGCAUGCUACAAUGGCCGGUACAAAGGGUUGCGAUACUGUGAGGUGGAGCUAAUCCCAAAAAGCCGGUCUCAGUUCGGAUUGGGGUCUGCAACUCGACCCCAUGAAGUCGGAGUCGCUAGUAAUCGCAGAUCAGCAACGCUGCGGUGAAUACGUUCCCGGGCCUUGUACACACCGCCCGUCAAGUCACGAAAGUUGGUAACACCCGAAGCCGGUGGCCUAACCCUUGUGGGGGGAGCCGUCGAAGGUGGGACCGGCGAUUGGGACUAAGUCGUAACAAGGUAGCCGUACCGGAAGGUGCGGCUGGAUCACCUCCU